AAGAAAGAGAAGCAGUUGUGUGGGACAAGCUGACAGCAGCAGAACUGCACUGAAAGUCAAGUGAAGAGAGGAUAAAGAUCCAACACACUUUCUCUGGCAACUCUUGAGUUCUACAUCAAUUACUAUUUGUCCAGCUGGCUUCAACAUUGACCUUCCUUUGUAUUUAGGAACAAACAGUUGAGUUUGUUUCCUGGAUCUGCAUCUCUGUCCCCAGAUCCCCAUACAUCAAUGGAGACCACAGCUUUCUCUCCUGAGGGAGGCAGGCAGCCAGAUACAGGCAGGAUGGGCUGUCUAAAGAAUGAAGAAAUGAAAACAACCCAAAGGAGGUCAUGUCCUGUUGGAAGCAAAACAAGCACAGAAGGUAGAGGGCUCACUCUGGUGCAGGCACCGUGAUAUGGGGCUGUGGAGAGCCGUGCCUCGAGCAAUCGUGUGCGUGCCGUGAGCAAUCGCCAUUAUAAGAUGGCGCUGGCUUCCACUGCACCUAACUAGUAAACAAGCCUUAUGCGCAAGUGCAAGAGUGAAGUCACGCCUAGUCACUCGCCCAUCUCGAGGCGUAGUAAUGGGGUGAUGGGCGAGCAACGAAUCAGGAGCUGUCACGUCACAUCAGGUGCUGAAACAUCACCCUGCGGGCUAUAUAAGCAGCGCCAUUUUCCCGGUUCGGAGUCUUCCAUCCUGAUAAGUAAGCAAUAAAAGCUUUGCCGC
Molecule: long non-coding RNA, 702 nt
Filed under: Mus musculus (house mouse)
Lineage: Eukaryota; Metazoa; Chordata; Mammalia; Rodentia; Muridae
Description: predicted gene, 32496
Source: RNAcentral